AACGAACGCUGGCGGCAUGCCUAACACAUGCAAGUCGAACGAGAACUUCGGGCCUUGUUGCGCACCGGUACGUACCGCGUGGUAACCUACCCUUGGGUUCGCUAUCCCUCCCCGAAGGGUGAGCUCAUACCGGAUAGUGUCUUCGCACCAAAGAUUUAUCGCCAUUUGGUGGGCGUGCGUAGGUUUAGCUAGUUGGUAGGGUAAUAGCGUGCCAUGGACACGAUCCAUGGCUGGUCUGUUAGGAUGAUCAGCCACACUGGGACUGAGACACGGCCUAGACUGCGACGCAGCGCAGCAGUGGGGAACAUUGUGGAAGGAGCCAAAGCCUAAUCCAGCAAUGCCGCGGAAGUGAUCAAUGCCUUAGGGUUGUAAAUCUCUUUUUGCCGAGAUGAGAAUGACAGUACCGGGUGAAGAAGCACCGGCUAACUCCGUG
RNAcentral lists this ribosomal RNA (433 nucleotides) under uncultured bacterium. RNAcentral describes it as "partial 16S ribosomal RNA". It matches the Rfam family "Bacterial small subunit ribosomal RNA", at positions 29 to 507 of the family's 1533-position model. The record is from RNAcentral.